RNAcentral lists this transfer RNA (69 nucleotides) under Polistes sp. MD1. Its description in RNAcentral is "tRNA-Leu". The record is from RNAcentral. Lineage: Eukaryota; Metazoa; Arthropoda; Insecta; Hymenoptera; Vespidae.
AUUAUUUUGGCAGAUAAGUGCAUUAAAUUUAGAAUUUAAUUAUAUAAUUUAUAAAAUUUAUAAAUAAUA